RNAcentral lists this ribosomal RNA (471 nucleotides) under uncultured bacterium. Its description in RNAcentral is "bacterial SSU rRNA". It matches the Rfam family "Bacterial small subunit ribosomal RNA", at positions 335 to 803 of the family's 1533-position model. The record is from RNAcentral.
ACUCCUACGGGAGGCAGCAGUGGGGAAUAUUGCACAAUGGGCGCAAGCCUGAUGCAGCCAUGCCGCGUGUAUGAAGAAGGCCUUCGGGUUGUAAAGUACUUUCAGCAGUGAGGAAGGUGGGUAUGUUAAUAGCAUACUCAUUUGACGUUAGCUGCAGAAGAAGCACCGGCUAACUCCGUGCCAGCAGCCGCGGUAAUACGGAGGGUGCGAGCGUUAAUCGGAAUUACUGGGCGUAAAGCGCAUGCAGGUGGUUUGUUAAGUCAGAUGUGAAAGCCCGGGGCUCAACCUCGGAAUUGCAUUUGAAACUGGCAAACUAGAGUACUGUAGAGGGGGUAGAAUUUCAGGUGUAGCGGUGAAAUGCGUAGAGAUCUGAAGGAAUACCGGUGGCGAAGGCGGCCCCUGGACAGAUACUGACACUCAGAUGCGAAAGCGUGGGAGCAAACAGGAUUAGAUACCCCUGGUAGCGACUGA